RNAcentral lists this long non-coding RNA (939 nucleotides) under Sus scrofa (pig). Its description in RNAcentral is "lncRNA (ENSSSCG00060027466.1)". The record is from RNAcentral. Lineage: Eukaryota; Metazoa; Chordata; Mammalia; Artiodactyla; Suidae.
CCCCCUCCCCCCUUCCCGCUCUGGAAUUUGUGCCAAUUUGUAAUCCGUGCGAGUGAGUCUGUGCCUCACCAUGCCUAGCUGGAGCUGGUAAUUAGGUGCGGUGGUGGCUCCUGCCUUUGCCCUCUGAUGACUUUUCUUUAAUUGCUCUAAUCUGUGUUUUCACGCACUCGCUGGAAAAUGAGAAGAGCCGCCAGCUCCACGGAGGAGGGGAGGUUUCAUGUCCUCUGUGAUUGCAGCCCUCGGCUCCAGCAUUGGAAGCACAGCAGAAAAUCAGAUUUUUGGUCUGGAUCCAAAACAGAAAUAUGACACCCCAUAUACGGUCAGUGUGUAUGUGUUUCUCUAAAAGAAUCACUUAACCUAAUUUUCUGAGCAUCAACUCCAAAUGCCAUGUAGACCAAGUGGAAAAAAAAAAAAAUUCACCCAAGUACAAAGGGGAGCUCUUGCUCUUCACCUUAAACAGCCCAUGAAGCUUUUUAGCAAUUGACGGGUUCCUCUCCCUCUCGCUGCUCUGUUCUCUAAGCCCGCAGGAAGGAAGAUCGCCUGAAAAAAUGUCCUUGUGGUGUUAGGGCGAGGACGGUGGGGUCAUGGGGAUGUGAGCCUCGGCUGACAACUCAGGAAAAAGGGACACUUUUCGGUGGCCUCUGAGGACCGCUCCCAGGCACUGCUGAAGAUCACAGGGUCUGGGAUAGGGUAGGGGUCCAGGCAGCUGCAAACGCCUGCACAUCAUCUGGUGCUGAGGCUCCCGGGAUGCUUCUGCUCCUGCUGUUCUCCCCAUCCUCACACCACUCCACUCAAUUAUCCCAGCAGGGGACUGGGGGGGCACCUUGACUCAAAUUUCACCGAGACUAUUCAUGGUGGCGAGGAGAGAGGAAAUUAGGGGGCUGGUGGGAAGGAGGGAGAGAUGCUGGGUUCCCAGACACCCCUCUAAUAUUCACUUUA